Salmo salar (Atlantic salmon) is the source of this 55-nucleotide non-coding RNA. The record is from Rfam. NCBI's taxonomy places the organism in Eukaryota, Metazoa, Chordata, Actinopteri, Salmoniformes, Salmonidae.
AAUGCACCAAUUUGUAAGUCGCUCUGGAUAAGAGUGUCUGCUAAAAUGACGUAAA